RNAcentral lists this ribosomal RNA (374 nucleotides) under uncultured organism. RNAcentral's name for it is "partial 16S ribosomal RNA". It matches the Rfam family "Bacterial small subunit ribosomal RNA", at positions 526 to 896 of the family's 1533-position model. The record is from RNAcentral.
GGGGGGGGGCAAGCGUUGUUCGGAAUUACUGGGGCGUAAAGGGCGCGCAGGCGGCCUGGCAAGUCCUACGUGAAAUCCCACAGCUCAACUGUGGAACUGCGUGGGAUACUGCCAGGCUUGAGUCCGGGAGAGGAGAGUGGAAUUCCCAGUGUAGCGGUGAAAUGCGUAGAUAUUGGGAGGAACACCGGUGGCGAAGGCGGCUCUCUGGACCGGUACUGACGCUGAGGCGCGAAAGCUAGGGGAGCAAGCGGGAUUAGAUACCCCGGUAGUCCUAGCCGUAAACUUUGAGCACUUUGUGUGGCGGGUAUCGACCCCUGCCGUGCAGAAGCUAACGCAUUAAGUGCUCCGCCUGGGGAGUACGGUCGCAAAGGCUG